RNAcentral lists this ribosomal RNA (253 nucleotides) under uncultured bacterium. RNAcentral describes it as "partial 16S ribosomal RNA". It matches the Rfam family "Bacterial small subunit ribosomal RNA", at positions 524 to 776 of the family's 1533-position model. The record is from RNAcentral.
UACAGAGGGUGCGAGCGUUAAUCGGAAUUACUGGGCGUAAAGCGUGCGUAGGUGGUUUAGUAAGUCAGAUGUGAAAUCCCCGGGCUCAACCUGGGAACUGCAUUUGAAACUAUUAAGCUAGAGUGUGGUAGAGGGAAGUGGAAUUUCCGGUGUAGCGGUGAAAUGCGUAGAUAUCGGAAGGAACAUCAGUGGCGAAGGCGACUUCCUGGACCAUAACUGACACUGAGGCACGAAAGCGUGGGGAGCAAACAGG